GAUGAACGCUGGCGGCGUGCCUAAUACAUGCAAGUCGAGCGAACAGACGAGGAGCUUGCUCCUCUGACGUUAGCGGCGGACGGGUGAGUAACACGUGGCUAACCUACCUAUAAGACUGGGAUAACUUCGGGAAACCGGAGCUAAUACCGGAUAAUAUAUUGAACCGCAUGGUUCAAUAGUGAAAGACGGUUUUGCUGUCACUUAUAGAUGGAUCCGCGCCGCAUUAGCUAGUUGGUAAGGUAACGGCUUACUAAGGCAACGAUGCGUAGCCGACCUGAGAGGGUGAUCGGCCACACUGGAACUGAGACACGGUCCAGACUCCUACGGGAGGCAGCAGUAGGGAAUCUUCCGCAAUGGGCGAAAGCUUGACGGAGCAACGCCGCGUGAGUGAUGAAGGUCUUCGGAUCGUAAAACUCUGUUAUUAUGGAAGAACAAAUGUGUAAGUAACUAUGCACGUCUUGACGGUACCUAAACAGAAAGCCACGGCUAACUACGUG
This 497-nucleotide ribosomal RNA is filed under the name uncultured bacterium. RNAcentral describes it as "partial 16S ribosomal RNA". It matches the Rfam family "Bacterial small subunit ribosomal RNA", at positions 28 to 507 of the family's 1533-position model. The record is from RNAcentral.